GCUAUGUAUUUUUUUUGUGUUACGUAAAUGAAAAGAAAAGCAUAGUGUUUUUAUGCAUAUGAUAAUAUAUAUGCUUAUUUCAAAUUGAUCGGCAAACUGGUUCCUAUCUCUUUGGCCAUAUUUUUUCUUUAUAACUUUAAAUGCUAGAUCUCAAACUAACCAGCCGAGAAUUACUCUUUUAAACACCCCAUCGAUCCCUUUUAAAAAUCUCAUAACCUUUGCUUGUGAAUCUGAGUUUCUUUCCAAGCUUGUGCCACCCAAUGGAAGUCCAUCGCUGUCGCCAAAUUCCGUUGUUCGAUUCCUCCGAUCCGCAACCUGGUACCAUGUUAUUAUCAUCUUCUUAGCCAUAUUUCUGUUCAUACCAAGUUGCUUAGUCUUUAUUUGUUUAAUCACUAGUUGUAUUCCGACGACUUCGACAACGGUCACCAACGGACGACCGCCACUUCCUGUUAUAAUCGCCGCCACCAUUGGUCCGGGAUCCUACCAGUUCACAGCCACGCUACGUGUACCGGCAGCCGUAAAUCAUAAACUAUCCCUUUCGCUCGCUUUAGUUCAGUUCCGUGUGACCAUCCGAAGUGCUAACGGUGCGUCUCCGGCUAACUCCGUUUGAUUGAUAAGGUACUAGAUCGAACCCGCAUCCUAAUUUAAAGUGUUUAUACGAAUUCCAGUUCAUUCCAAUGGUUCCGUCGACUAAGGUUUUUAAAAUUGGAAGUUGUUUAUGAUCGGAUUAACUUUGUACUGUGUUGCGUAAGUGUGUGACUGUCGCAAAACUCACGAUCCAUAAUAUUUGAAAGAGAAAACAGAAAUUUAAUGGUGAUAUAUCACUAAAUAUUAUGGGGGAGUGCAUGGGGGUAUUGUAUACUGUGUCAUUCAUGGUGUAUACAUAGU
This 888-nucleotide long non-coding RNA is filed under the name Helianthus annuus (common sunflower). Its description in RNAcentral is "hypothetical non coding rna". Lineage: Eukaryota; Viridiplantae; Streptophyta; Magnoliopsida; Asterales; Asteraceae. The record is from RNAcentral.